UACAGAGGGGGCAAGCGUUGUUCGGAAUUACUGGGCGUAAAGGGCGCGUAGGCGGCCUGUUAAGUCGAACGUGAAAUCCCCGGGCUCAACCCGGGAACUGCGUCCGAUACUGGCAGGCUUGAAUCCGGGAGAGGGAUGCGGAAUUCCAGGUGUAGCGGUGAAAUGCGUAGAUAUCUGGAGGAACACCGGUGGCGGAAGGCGGCAUCCUGGACCGGCAUUGACGCGUGAGGCGCGAAAGCCAGGGGAGCGAACGGG
Molecule: ribosomal RNA, 255 nt
Filed under: uncultured bacterium
Lineage: Bacteria
Description: partial 16S ribosomal RNA
Rfam family: Bacterial small subunit ribosomal RNA
Source: RNAcentral